CGCGUAGGCGGGCCUUCAAGUCGGAUGUGAAAACUAUCGGCUCAACUGAUAGCCUGCAUCCGAUACUGUUGGUCUUGAGUACGGAAGAGGAGAGCGAAAUUCCAGGUGUAGCGGUGAAAUGCGUAGAUAUCUGGAAGAACACCAGUAGCGAAGGCGGCUCUCUGGUCCGAUACUGACGCUCAAGCGCGAAGGCUAGGGGAGCAAACA
This 207-nucleotide ribosomal RNA is filed under the name uncultured bacterium. Its description in RNAcentral is "partial 16S ribosomal RNA". It matches the Rfam family "Bacterial small subunit ribosomal RNA", at positions 568 to 774 of the family's 1533-position model. The record is from RNAcentral.